AACAGGAUUAGAUACCCUGGUAGUCCACGCCGUAAACGAUGUCGACUUGGAGGCUGUUCCCUUGAGGAGUGGCUUCCGGAGCUAACGCGUUAAGUCGACCGCCUGGGGAGUACGGCCGCAAGGUUAAAACUCAAAUGAAUUGACGGGGGCCCGCACAAGCGGUGGAGCAUGUGGUUUAAUUCGAUGCAACGCGAAGAACCUUACCUACUCUUGACAUCCAGAGAAUUUAGCAGAGAUGCUUUAGUGCCUUCGGGAACUCUGAGACAGGUGCUGCAUGGCUGUCGUCAGCUCGUGUUGUGAAAUGUUGGGUUAAGUCCCGCAACGAGCGCAACCCUUAUCCUUUGUUGCCAGCGCGUAAUGGCGGGAACUCAAAGGAGACUGCCGGCGAUAAACCGGAGGAAGGUGGGGAUGACGUCAAGUCAUCAUGGCCCUUACGAGUAGGGCUACACACGUGCUACAAUGGCGCAUACAAAGAGAAGCGACCUCGCGAGAGCAAGCGGACCUCAUAAAGUGCGUCGUAGUCCGGAUUGGAGUCUGCAACUCGACUCCAUGAAGUCGGAAUCGCUAGCAAUCGUAAAUCAGAAUGUUACGGUGAAUACGUUCCCGGGCCUUGUACACACCGCCCGUCACACCAUGGGAGUGGGUUGCAAAAGAAGUAGAUAGCCUAACCUUCGGGAGGGCGUUUACCACUUUGUGAUUCAUGACUGGGGUGAAGUCGUAACAAGGUAACCGUAGGGGAACCUGCGGCUGGAUCACCUCCUU
This 762-nucleotide ribosomal RNA is filed under the name uncultured bacterium. Its description in RNAcentral is "bacterial SSU rRNA". It matches the Rfam family "Bacterial small subunit ribosomal RNA", at positions 771 to 1532 of the family's 1533-position model. The record is from RNAcentral.